CGUGAGGGGCGAACGUUGUUCGGUGUCACUGGGCUUAAAGGGCGCGUAGGUGGCUGUGCAAGUAAGGUGUGAAAGCCCUCGGCUUACCCGGGGAAUUGCGCCUUAAACUGCAUGGCUUGAGGGAUUCAGGGGAAUGGGGAACUCCAGGUGUAGCGGUGAAAUGCGCAGAUAUCUGGGGGAAGGCCGGCGGCGAAGGCGCCAUUCUGGGAAUUUCCUGACACUGAGGCGCGAAAGCGUGGGGAGCAAACAGGAUUAGAUACCCUGGUAGUCCACGCCCUAAACGAUGGAUACUAAGUAGGGGACCCUACAAGGGGUUCCUUGCCGGAGCGAAAGCGUUAAGUAUCCCGCCUGGGGAGUAUGGUCGCAAGGCUG
This 372-nucleotide ribosomal RNA is filed under the name uncultured organism. RNAcentral describes it as "bacterial SSU rRNA". It matches the Rfam family "Bacterial small subunit ribosomal RNA", at positions 526 to 896 of the family's 1533-position model. The record is from RNAcentral.